Long non-coding RNA from Chelonia mydas (Green sea turtle), 6440 nucleotides. RefSeq lists it as uncharacterized. The transcript has 3 exons. NCBI's taxonomy places the organism in Eukaryota, Metazoa, Chordata, Testudines, Cheloniidae. The record is from RefSeq and is a predicted model, not a curated record.
AGGAGGUGGGGAGAUGCUGUUGAAGGCCUCUGAGUGGAAGACCGGCAAGGAGCUUUUACUACCAUCACUAUGGGCCAUCAAACAGCCUGUAACUCUGUCUACAGCUGAGGAUAAUGUUAGUGCUUGAAGUGGGUGGGAGGGUGUCCAAAGGGGUCACAGACCUGACCCGAAAACAACUUUAUUCAACCCAGGAUGCUCUUCAAGUACUAUCUUGCCAAAGCUGCUGCUCCCAGAAUAUGAUAGGACCGCCCUCCCCCCCUCAAAACCCCACUUUUUUCAGAUCACUAAGCACUGGGUAGGGCUAUACCUUGCUGCCUAGGAGGAAGCAUGAUCUAAUGCCUCAGCCACAGAACUGUGGCAUCUGGGUUCUCUUCCCAGAUCUGCCACAACCUCAGUUUCCCCAUCUGUAUAAUGGGAGUAAUACCAACCUCACAGAGAAGCCGUGAGAGACAAUUCAUGGAUGUCAGUCAAGUGCUUUGUGAUCCUUUGAUGGCAGGUGUCACAGACGGGCGUAAAGUUGUCUUGUUCGUGAUCAGAGCUUUUAGCAUUGCAGCUGCUCGGUCUUAAGCUUUAAUCCCUCGCACCCCCCCUUCCUGGCGUGCUGAAAGCUGGAGUGAAUUUGUAAAUUCAUGCUAUGGGUGAGGUGAGAGCUGCAGGCUAUGGUGAUCUGAUCCAGACCAUAUGUUUUUUAAAAACUACAAAUGAAAAGAGCAACAUUUAAUCUGAGCUCCUGAGAAGUGUAUUUUCUUUAUAGCUAGCCCUGGAGUGUCUGGAACAUAGCUGCCCUUCAGGGUGUUUUUCGGAGAGGAGCAGUUGUGUGCUCUGCUUUGAGCUUUGCGUGACCUGAGGUCUGCAACCAUAGUAAGCUGCCAGACCCCACCGAUAGGCCCUCGCUUCUUGGAGCCAGAACUGGGAAAAAUGCUUUCCAAGGGCUAUGCUUGCUGACAGAUUCCUACCUGGUUCAGAGAAAGGGGGAGUCCCACGAGAAACUAACCAUGGGUCAGCAAGCAACUGCUGACGUGACCUUUUUUUUUUUUUCCCAAGAGUGUGUCGUCUUUUGAAUGCCAUCCAAGCUCCAGCACUUAACAGUGUGAGAAGGUAUUGCAGGAAGAGACCCUAGGAAAAAAACAGCAUUAGCAAUCUGCUUUUCCAAAGCUUCUCUUGGCAGGUGACUGUGAAACUGCACAUGUUCUAGAGAGAUAGUUAAAGGCUUCUUCCCCUCCUGGCUUCAGCUCUAGGAGGAAAAAUCCCCUGUGUGUUAAGUCCAUACAGAACUGUAUAUGCCCUCCACUCAAAGCAACUGAGCCAUCUUCCUGUGAGUGUCUCCGUCUUAGAAAUGAUCGGGAAUUUACUGAUGGUUUUUCCCCUACAAAAUUUUUUGCCAUAAGAUUAUUUUUUUUCAGUUCGUCCAAAUUUGGGGUGUGGGAGAAUGUUUGAGGGUUUUUUUUGUUUUUUGUUUUGUUUGUUUGUUUUGUUUUUUUUAGCAACCAAAAACUUAAAACAAAAACAAAAAAACCUUGAGUACUUUUGACAACCAAAGCUUUAUUUUUGAUGAAAUUCCCAAGGGGUUGUGUGUGGAGGUUUUUUGUUUUUUCUAUUGAGGGGGAAAAUUUCAACUGGCUCUCCUCCACCUGCCUCUGUUCUCUCUGGCUCCAGUUCGUCUUUCAUUUUUGCCAAUGUAACUGAGCUGCAUUUCCAUCAAACUCUCUAUUCAGAGUAGCAUCUCCUAGGUGCUAGAUGUCUUUCAAAUACUCAAGCGUCCCUGCUCCAAAGAGCUGCCAGCCUGGGAAUAAACAGAUACAAGGCAGUUAGCAGAAGAACAGCCAACUCUACAAAUCAGUCUGAUUCACUGUAAACCGCAUGGCAGAAGGAAGGUGUGACUGGGUAUAUCAGACUGAGGCCCCCUUGCCACACGCUGCCCCAAAAAAGGGCAGUGAAGAGAGUCCUCCAAGCUGCCUAGAGUGCCUGUGUGGGACACCUCCAAUCAGAGCCCAGCAGCCUAGUAGAAGAAGAGCUGCAGGGCAGAAGUUCAGCUCCUUGCUGGAGAUGUAGGAGCCUGGAUGGUGUGUGGCUGGCUGAUGGAGCUGCAGAACCUCAGACAGGGGAAGUGGCCCAGGGGAUUAGAGAAGCUGUAUGAUGCAGUUAAAGGGAUGCGGCAGAUGGCUGAUAUCUACAGGGUCCCUGGGCUGGGACCCGGAGUAGGGGGCAGGCCCGGGUCCCUGACAUUUGCCACUGGGGGGGAAGUGGGCUGAACACUGAGGCACCCCAGAGAGGGACCUGAACUAUAGUGGCCCAGCUGGAGAGCUGUAGCCAGAAAGCCCAAAAGGGCGAACACAUUGUCACCAGGGAGGAGCCAUGGGGGCACUGCUCUAUCCCGGAGCAGGGACAAACAGCGUGCAGGCACACGCACUCGGCAAGGGAGGCACUCACGAGAGGUGAGUGUGCCCCGUUACAGAAGGUGUUCAAUGCCGUUGUUGUAAGAACCUUGGGAAUUCUGUUGUAUUCCGGUUCUUGCCACGUCCUCAUUGCUGUAAUGUCUGAGCACCUUCCUGUUGGUCAUUAAGCAACUUGACUAACAUCUGCCCUCUGUGGCUUGUUCUGGGGAGAGGAGAUGAAACAGAAGAAUUGUAUGGGAAGUUUAGCCUUUUUUUGGAUAGGAUGAUUUUAUUUUAUUUUGAAGGGAGGUUGUGUCUGUCUUUAGAAGGAAGGUAGAAUGGUGCCUUGCGGUUGAAGUGGAAGGUAGGAAUGAGCUUCAUGAGGUCAUGCCACACAUAGGGGAUCACAUGUAGGUGAUAGGGGUCAAGGCUAGGAAGUUGCAGGGUUGCAAAUGAGAAUUGGCCUCUUGCUUCCUCUCACAAAUCAGCCAGGUGUUUGGAGGCCCUUCCCCGUUUAUCAGAAGUGAGUAGAUGCGACUUAUGACAGGAGGGUCUGUCUUUAAUAUUGCAUUACUUUAUUUCGUACCUCUCCUCUAAUGUUCUGGGGAAGGGUAACGGAGAACCGCAACAAACCUUCCCUUUUCCCCAUACCCCCUACAAAAUACCCCCAUCCCCCACCGUUCUACAGGGAAAUCAGUGGCGCUGGUAAUUGGCGUGAGGAUGACUUAUUAGGCUUGGAAAAGGAAGAGACGCCAUCCAACUAUUAAAAGCUGGAGAAAGAGGGACGCCUUGUGAGAGACAACUUUGUGAACGGAGCCCAGCGGGAGCUAGAAGGUACCUGGCAACAAGAGUGGGAAUGGACAUGCGUGCCCAAGGGAACACAUGCGCAGGCUGUCCUGUAGGGUGAUCGUGUUCGGUGUUUAAAGUUAGUGUUGGCAUCUGAUCACACCCGUGGAAAUGGAUGGAUCCGUUCACACCUCUCAGAUAUUAUUUCAGGCAUUCUGCGUGUUCAGGCAGCUAUCUCUGUGUUGGGUACGCUCAGGUCACGUUUACAAGAUUUUCUUUGCAAAGAUAACAGCUAGAGCCUCAUGCUUCUGAUGACAGUUGAGACUCCGAAGAAGACUUGAGAGGCUAGUUUUCACCUCCCCAGUUUGGCCUUUGCCCCUAAUCCUCUUUAGGAAGUGAUGGGUUUCCCUAAAGGGAUAACACUGCAACUCAGUGCCAACUGGUUUUACAAUGCUAGCUGCAGAUGGAGUUUCUGACUUGGCUUGCCAUGGUCACAUUCAUGGUAAAUCCACUUCCAGCAACGAUCCUCGCUUCCCACUAGUGAUUGUGCUGCUUUCCAAAAACAAAUUCCAGCUACGCUUUUGUACCUCCCUGUCCCCAUCUGAAUCCUGCAAUGACAGCCCCACACUUGCUGCCCACUGGGGACUUGGUUUAAAUACACCCCCCCCUUUUGCCCCUUUUAGUGGCAUGAAUUUUAAUUUGACGUCUGAGAGUUAGGUCUUUGGCCUCCUGAUUACAUGCCCAUUUGUAUGAGCUUUAGGUCUAAUUAAUGUAGUAAAAUGUGUGAAAGUAUUAAAUUUCUUCAGCCCGGGCAAUUUUAUCCCUGACAGUAACAAAUAAAGCAGUUAUGUCUCUGGCUUUUUUUAUUAUUGUGCUAGCUUUUUUUGUUACUGGAAAUUUAAAUUAUAAUGGAAUGUGUCACUUUUCUAAAAAAUGUACCCAUAGCAACAAGAACAUCUACAUUAUUACAGGCUGAUCACUUCCCUACAAGAGUGGCAUCACAUGCUUUUCAGAAACAGUCCUACAGGUGUGGGUUUUUAAUAGGUUUUUUUUCCCCUUUUUUGCAAACAACUGUGUAUACAGAGUUUUUUCCAGCAGCAUGCUGCCUUUAGAAAAACCUACACUUAAUAACUGCCACCAUCUUUGUUAGCCAGAGUGAUUUUUCAGGCAUGAUCUUGCAAUCUUCAGUGGUGAAGUGUAACCCUUACUUGUGCAAGUAAACCCCUAUAGGUUACCCUAAUGUAAAGCUGGAAUAACUCCCUUGAAGCCAGUGAAUUUGCACUGAUGUAACGGAGAUUAGAGUCUGGCUUGCUGUCUCCACUAGGAUUACUACGUAGGAGUAAGGAUACUGAGCUUGUACAUCCGAUGAAGUGAGUUGUAGCUCACGAAAGCUUAUGCUCAAAUAAAUUGGUUAGUCUCUAAGGUGCCACAAGGACUCCUUUUCUUUUUGCGGAUACAGACUAACACGGCUGCUACUCUGAAACAGAGCUGAGUAAUUUUUUUUUUCCAAUUUUGGGGGCCCCCAAAUGGGAAUGAGAGAUGCAGAUUUAAGGCAAAUUGAAACCAAUUCAAAAAAGUAUCAAAUUUAAAAAAAACCCUCAAAGUCGAUGGGUUUUUUUUUUUUUUUUUUUAAUUUUCAUUCAGCUAUUUUCAGGUGCCUUUUCCCUACUUUGCCAAAUUUGAAAACAAAACGUGGCUUUGAAACAAAAGGUCAAAAUAAAACAUUCUGCUGACUUUUUGUUUUUUGUUUUUUGUUUUAAAUGUUGGCUGAAACUAAGAGUUGAAUUUGACCCCAAUUCACAAAUGGGUUUGGAGCCCUGAAUAUUUAUUUUUUUUUUUUUUUUGGUUGCAAAACUUCUGAUGCAUAUUGUCUGAUCCUAACUUUUGGGGCACUCUAAGAAGCAAUCUUUUUGUUUCUUUUUUAAAAAGUUCUUUUAAGACAUCCUCCUCAGAAACCAGCUUCAAUGGAUGGCUGUCAUUUUGAAAUCUGAUCAGUUUUAAAAAAAAAAAAAGUCUAGUUUUGGACGCUGGACCUGUCUCAAAGUCUCCCUGCCAAUUUUUGUACUGUUACAAUCAGUUUCAUAUUCUCUUAAAAAAAAAAAAAAAAACUCUCUCCUCCUUACUGUAAAAAAAUAACCACCUACAAAAACCAAAGUGCUGUCAAAUGUUUGACAUAAAGACACUGGAGGGAAAAGGGAGACGUUUUUCUCUCAUCUCUUUCGCUUGUAAGGACUCAUAAGUGCUCCCUGUAUUACUCGUAGGUUGGAAAAGUUCAGACACAAAGGGAUGAUUUUUCAAAAAUAGUUGAGAGUCCCUUUGAACCACAUUCAGUUACUGUAUUGUAACCGAAAUGACAAUAAAGGAUUUAUAGGCACCGUUAGAUAGUUUAGAUUAAGAAAGCAGGUUUAAUAAAUCUACAUGCACAUAGUAAGGAGACCUUAACCAAACCUAUAGCAUAUUUAAUACCAGAGGUUUCUGCUUGUCCCCCUGGGGUUCCUGUAUCUUCCCCAGGGUUGUGAAGUGUGCAUUACACUAAUUGUCUACUGCAUUCUACUUCUACCCCAUGAUGGCUGCAUUUCAGAGGUGAUGUUUGUACUGACUAUUUGCAAAUUGCUGGGGAAUGAGCGGUGCUUUAUAAAUAUUACUUAUGGCUCAAGUCUUGCAGAACAAAAUCUCGUUCAGGGAGAAGUGACUGUCAUUCAGCAAGGUCAACACAAAACAUGAUCUUCAAAGUGCAAGGGAAGCCGGCUCUUUUUGUAAAGGUUUGAGUAAUUUAUUGCACCAAUAGAAAAGUGUGGCCAGGGCACCUAAGGUUUCAAGGGUGCCGUUUUCAUGGAUGAAGCUUUCAGUUUUAGUGUGGUUAUAGUAACUGAUGUCUGUACGCAGGCUGUUAUGGGAACAAUGUGUAUUCUGUCAGUGAUUUUCUGAUCAAACGUGUUCAGUUUGCAGCUGAAAGGAAGCAAAGUCAUGUGGGAGGGUGAUUGACAAGGAAGAAGGGUAUGAAUGACACAACCCUGCCAGACCUGCAGAUCAGGCUGGGAUCUGGAAGUCCCUCUGUUUCCUUUAUGGCUCACCUAGCAUCACCUUUUAAUAAAGAUUCUAAAAUGGGGACUUGUAAUUUUGUUGAAGAUGCAUGAGCCAGAAAAUAAUCCAGCUCAUUCUCUCUUGGUUUUAUUAACUCUACAGGCUCGUAUUGCAUAUAAAAUAGCUUUCAAAAGUAAGCACACAGAAUAAUAAACACUGGGAGCAGAUCCUGAAAUGAUACAAGAAAUGGUAUGC